RNAcentral lists this ribosomal RNA (382 nucleotides) under Staphylococcus aureus. Its description in RNAcentral is "partial 23S ribosomal RNA". It matches the Rfam family "Bacterial large subunit ribosomal RNA", at positions 1487 to 1866 of the family's 2925-position model. The record is from RNAcentral. Lineage: Bacteria; Bacillati; Bacillota; Bacilli; Caryophanales; Staphylococcaceae.
CGAAGCGUGCGAUUGGAUUGCACGUCUAAGCAGUAAGGCUGAGUAUUAGGCAAAUCCGGUACUCAUUAAGGCUGAGCUGUGAUGGGGAGAAGACAUUGUGUCUUCGAGUCGUUGAUUUCACACUGCCGAGAAAAGCCUCUAGAUAGAAAAUAGGUGCCCGUACCGCAAACCGACACAGGUAGUCAAGAUGAGAAUUCUAAGGUGAGCGAGCGAACUCUCGUUAAGGAACUCGGCAAAAUGACCCCGUAACUUCGGGAGAAGGGGUGCUCUUUAGGGUUAACGCCCAGAAGAGCCGCAGUGAAUAGGCCCAAGCGACUGUUUAUCAAAAACACAGGUCUCUGCUAAACCGUAAGGUGAUGUAUAGGGGCUGACGCCUGCCCGG